This 427-nucleotide ribosomal RNA is filed under the name uncultured bacterium. Its description in RNAcentral is "bacterial SSU rRNA". It matches the Rfam family "Bacterial small subunit ribosomal RNA", at positions 79 to 518 of the family's 1533-position model. The record is from RNAcentral.
GUUGAAGAUACAUCUAGCGGCGGACGGGUGAGUAACACGUGAGCAACCUGCCUUAAAGAGGGGGAGUAACGUUGGGAAACCAACGCUAAUACCGCAUAAGAUAUUAGUGCCGCAUGGCACAGAUAUAAAAGGAGCAAUCCGCUUUAAGAUGGGCUCGCGCCCGAUUAGGUAGUUGGUGAGGUAAAGGCCCACCAAGCCUGCGAUCGGUAGUCGGACUGAGAGGUUGAUCGGCCACAUUGGGAUUGAGACACGGCCCAGACUCCUACGGGGAGGCAGCAGUGGGGGAUAUUGCACAAUGGAGGAAACUCCUGAUGCAGCGACGCCGCGUGAGGGAAGAAGGUCUUCGGAUUGUAAACCUCUGUCGUUGGGGAAGAUAAAUGACGGUACCCAAGGAGGAAGCCACGGCUAACUACGUGCCAGCCGCUGC